RNAcentral lists this ribosomal RNA (442 nucleotides) under Trapania palmula. RNAcentral describes it as "partial large subunit ribosomal RNA". It matches the Rfam family "Archaeal large subunit ribosomal RNA", at positions 1909 to 2666 of the family's 2987-position model. Lineage: Eukaryota; Metazoa; Mollusca; Gastropoda; Nudibranchia; Goniodorididae. The record is from RNAcentral.
AGCCUCAGGAUAAAAGAUUUGAGGUUAGACCUGCCCAAUGUGAUUAUUAUGAAUGGCCGCGGUACUUUGACCGUGCUAAGGUAGCGCAAUCAAUUGGCUUUUAAUUGGAGCCAGGUAUGAAUGGAGUCACGGGGUUCAGCUGUCUCUUAGUUAUUAUAUUGAAGUUACUAUUUAGGUGAAAAAGCCUAAGAGUCAAAGGGGGACGAGAAGACCCUUAGAGUUUUUCUUAUAUUGAAUUUUUUUCAUAAUAGUUUUGUUGGGGCAACAAAGGAUCAGAUUAAUUUAACAUCCUUAAUAUUAUUUACCGAUUUUUAUAAAGUUGAAUAAACUACCUUAGGGAUAACAGCAUAAUUUUAUAAAUAAGUUUGUGACCUCGAUGUUGGACUAGGAAACUGAGGGGCUAGCCGCUCUUUAGGUGAGUUCUGUUCGAACUAUUAUUCCU